CGCUCUCGAAUGCUCCCGAGAAGAAUCGUUUGGAAACUUCUUUUAUGCGUGUGAGAGUCAGGAGGAAACAGGAGACAGAUGACACGGAGUGCUCUGAGGACUGAAGCCGUGUCUGAGGGAGAUCCCAGCAGGACCCCAGAGCUUCCUGAAGCCCCAGCCUCAGGGGAAAUGAAGAGGGAGCUCAGGUGCACACCCUGAAGUGGAAAGAAAAGGAGACAUUCGUCAUUGAUUGAGCCUUACACUCCUGUCACUUAAUUCGUACACUAACCCGGAGAGAGAUGUAUUAUAACCCAGGCUUUCUUUUCGAUUUUUUUUUCUUGAGAGAGAAACACAGAUUUGU
Long non-coding RNA from Eptesicus fuscus (big brown bat), 340 nucleotides. RefSeq lists it as uncharacterized. Lineage: Eukaryota; Metazoa; Chordata; Mammalia; Chiroptera; Vespertilionidae. The record is from RefSeq and is a predicted model, not a curated record. The transcript is spliced from 3 exons.